RNAcentral lists this transfer-messenger RNA (377 nucleotides) under Buchnera aphidicola (Rhopalosiphum maidis). It matches the Rfam family "transfer-messenger RNA". Rfam says of the family: Bacterial tmRNA, also known as 10Sa RNA or SsrA, is named for its dual tRNA and mRNA-like properties. Its role is to liberate the mRNA from a stalled ribosome. The record is from RNAcentral. Lineage: Bacteria; Pseudomonadati; Pseudomonadota; Gammaproteobacteria; Enterobacterales; Erwiniaceae.
GGGGCUGUUUUUGGAUUCGACAAAAUUAUCAAAAAAAUAAAGUGCAUGCCGAGGAACGGUUUGCCUCGAUAAAAAACCGUAAAAAAAUAGCUGCAAAUAACAAACAAAACUACGCUUUAGCAGCUUAAAACACUGUUUAAAGCCCUUUCAUCUCUAACUUAUCUCUUGAAGAAGGAGAAAUUUUUAAGAAAGGUCAAAAUUUAAAGAGAACAACGUGAGCACUAAGCUUGACAGUGACACGAAAAUAAUUUUCAAGCUAUACGCUUAAAAUGCGUUCUUCCAAAUUAAGCGAUGAAUAAUCAGUAAAGAAAAACUAAGCAUGUAGUAUCUUUAUUUAUAGACAUUUUGGACGCGGGUUCAAAUCCCGCCAGCUCCAA